UACAGAGGUCUCGAGCGUUAGGCGGAAUCACUGGGCUUAAAGCGUGUGUAGGCGGAUCGUUAAGUGCCUUGUGAAAUCCCAUGGCUUAACCGUGGAACUGCUUGGCAUACUGGCGAUCUUGAGCAACCUAGGGGCGAGCGGAACAAAUGGUGGAGCGGUGAAAUGCGUAGAUAUCAUUUGGAACGCCAAUGGUGAAAACAGCUCGCUGGGGGUUUGCUGACGCUGAGACACGAAAGCCAGGGGAGCAAACGGG
This 253-nucleotide ribosomal RNA is filed under the name uncultured bacterium. Its description in RNAcentral is "partial 16S ribosomal RNA". It matches the Rfam family "Bacterial small subunit ribosomal RNA", at positions 524 to 776 of the family's 1533-position model. The record is from RNAcentral.